RNAcentral lists this transfer RNA (74 nucleotides) under Geminocystis sp. RNAcentral describes it as "tRNA-Val". RNAcentral also lists the same sequence under 2 other names. The record is from RNAcentral. Lineage: Bacteria; Bacillati; Cyanobacteriota; Cyanophyceae; Chroococcales; Geminocystaceae.
GGGCGUAUAGCUCAGCUGGUUAGAGUGCAUCGUUGACAUCGAUGAGGUCGCCCGUUCGAGCCGGGCUACGCCCA